UGUAAGCGUAUACCAAAGUUGUUGCAGUUAAAACGCUCGUAGUCGGAAUUUGGCAGUUCCGGAUGUGUGCACGUCGUGUGCGCACUUCGCGGGGAUUGCUUUUGUGGUCUUGCGUAGGAUGAGGCACUUUUAUUAGUGAACGUCCUCACGCAACCACUUUUUACUGUGAGAAAAUCAGAGUGCUCAAAGCAGGCAUUUGCCGUGAAUGUAUAGCAUGGAAUAAUAGAAUAGGACUUGGUUCUAUUUUGUUGGUUUGUUGGGACUGAGUAAUGAUUAAGAGGGACAGUUGGGGGCAUUUGUAUUUCGGCGCUAGAGGUGAAAUUCUUAGAUUGCCGAAAGACAAACUGCUGCGAAAGCGUCUGCCAAGGAUGUUUUCAUUGA
RNAcentral lists this ribosomal RNA (381 nucleotides) under uncultured eukaryote. Its description in RNAcentral is "partial 18S ribosomal RNA". It matches the Rfam family "Eukaryotic small subunit ribosomal RNA", at positions 592 to 976 of the family's 1831-position model. The record is from RNAcentral.